Molecule: ribosomal RNA, 510 nt
Filed under: uncultured bacterium
Lineage: Bacteria
Description: bacterial SSU rRNA
Rfam family: Bacterial small subunit ribosomal RNA
Source: RNAcentral
GAUCCUGGCUCAGGAUGAACGCUAGCUACAGGCUUAACACAUGCAAGUCGAGGGGCAGCAUGAUCGAAGCUUGCUUGAUGAUGGCGACCGGCGCACGGGUGAGUAACGCGUAUCCAACCUUCCCUGUAGUAGAGAAUAGCCCGGCGAAAGUCGGAUUAAUGCUCUAUGUUGUAUUUCGAUGACAUCUGAAGAAUACCAAAGGUUUACCGCUAUAGGAUGGGGAUGCGUCUGAUUAGGUUGUUGGCGGGGUAACGGCCCACCAAGCCGACGAUCAGUAGGGUCUGAGAGGAAGGUCCCCCACAUUGGAACUGAGACACGGUCCAAACUCCUACGGGAGGCAGCAGUGAGGAAUAUUGGUCAAUGGACGGAAGUCUGAACCAGCCAAGUAGCGUGCAGGAUGACGGCCCUAUGGGUUGUAAACUGCUUUUAUAUAGGGAUAAAGUCGGGGACGUGUCCCCGUUUGUAGGUACUAUAUGAAUAAGGACCGGCUAAUUCCGUGCCAGCAGCUGC